UACAGAGGGUGCGAGCGUUAAUCGGAAUGACUGGGCGUAAAGGGUGUGUAGGUGGUUUAAUAAGUUAGGUGUGAAAGUCCUGGGCUUAACCUGGGGAGGUCGCUUAAGACUGUUAAGCUAGAGUACUGUAGAGGAAGGUGGAAUUUCCGGUGUAGCAGUGAAAUGCGUAGAUAUCGGAAGGAACAUCAGUGGCGAAGGCGACUUUCUGGACAGAUACUGACACUGAGACACGAGAGCGUGGGGAGCAAACAGG
Molecule: ribosomal RNA, 253 nt
Filed under: uncultured bacterium
Lineage: Bacteria
Description: partial 16S ribosomal RNA
Rfam family: Bacterial small subunit ribosomal RNA
Source: RNAcentral